This 2492-nucleotide long non-coding RNA is filed under the name Homo sapiens (human). RNAcentral's name for it is "HSALNT0138790". The record is from RNAcentral. Lineage: Eukaryota; Metazoa; Chordata; Mammalia; Primates; Hominidae.
GGAGAGUGACUAUCAUUCUAGCCCUGACCUGAUGGCUCCAGGGGAGGUGGUCGUGGAUGUUUACAGAAUGGCUUUCAUGGGAUGCUUCUUUAUCCUGAUGGAUGGCCUAAUACCUAAGUGUCUAACCCUUGAUCAGGUGUUUCUCUCACAGGAAACUUGCUUCUACUAGCAGGUGCCCUUAAAGCUCUUGGCUGGCCUGUGUUCAGUUUAUUCCAACCAAGAUAGCCACCCUCUAGGAGGGCCCUGAGCAGGAGGAGAGUUGUGCUCGGGUGUGCCCCUCAGGUGAGACGCAAAGAAGGCCACACAACAAAACACAUGAAAUAACCCAAGUGGUGUAUUAUUUAACAGAUCCAGAGAGAAGAUGGCAGCACACUUUGCAGGGCUAAUUUGAAGGGGAGAACCCGGACGACGGCUCAACCAGCAGGUCUCCAUUCACCAGGCUCCUAAUUGGUUCCUUUAGUCCUUCCACUGAAUGAAGUUCCACCUCUGAACUCCAGCCAUCUUGUGACUAUGUAUAUGUUAUCAUGGAAAAUGUCUUGUGAAACUACACAUAUAGAGUUCAGCUUGAAACUCUAAGGUUGAUUGCAUUUUUUUUGGCUCAAGCCACCACUGCUGGAUAAAUGAAAUUCUAGGUACCAGAAUGUGAAAUGCCUAACAGCUUCUGUGUACACAUGUGUUUUUCUCUUUUAAUUGAUAUCCUGGCUUUAGACCAACUUCAGAUUUACAUCUACUGGACAAAUAAUCCUGAUGCUCUCAUUUUCUUUAUCCUCAGUCCUGGAGAGGGGUGAGGACGGGAGAAGAGUAGGUAGGAGAGAGGCUUUUUUGAACUUUUAGCUUACCCCCUCCUAAACCCUUCUGCUCCAUCCCAGUACUGUCCAAGCAAGCUUGAUUAUGGUAUCUUCAUACUAGCUUUCUAAAACCUCCAGAACAUAGAAGAGGCAGAAUAGCAUAAUGAUAUUCACUCUGGAGCCAAAGGUCUCUGACUCUGAGACUUUGAAAAUUAUUCAUUCUCAUUCUGUGUAAAAAGGUUCUUAGUAAAAAUCCUGCUGAUAAACAAAACUGUUGGAAGCCUGGAAGAACAGUCUUCUCUUUCAUAUUGAACAACCCACUAAAAUGCGUUUUUAAUUUUUUCAUUGUAAAUAUUUCAUUUCUGUUUAGUGGUCUCAGAUUUUCCAUAUUCUGACCAAAAUUAUCAAAUUCUUCAAUGGCAGGCAAUUCUACACUCCUAUAUCUUGUAUUUAGAUAUUUUAAAAAUUAUUAUGUAUUUCUAUAAUAAUAAUGGUAACUAUUAUUAUAACUUUUUAUUCUGCUUUGUACAAUGCCUGACAGGAAGGUAUUCAAUGACUACUGAUUGACUGAUUAAAUAUAAGCAUAAAUUAAUUAACUGGUUAAUCCACUGUGGAUUCACUGAUUCUAUAGUCAAUGUCUAAUCUCAAUCUAAUGAUCAUCGAAUUAUAUCUCAACCUAUCUCAGUCUAAAGAUGUUGAUCAUAGUUUCUGUCCCUAAAACUUCCAAAUCUGCCUGGAAGCAUUGGUGACUCCUAAUGAGCCUCUUUUUUAAAUUAUAUAAGUAAGAAAUGGCACAGGUUUCAGAACAAAUCAUCCACCAACCACAAUGAAUGGAAAUAAAGAGAAAAUCAGAUUUGAGUUGUUAUGCUUCUGAUUGAAAAAUCAGUAACAGAGGAAAGCUUAGUGUUUUAUGGGAGCACAGAAGUGCAUUGAAUUUUGUAUAGGCAUGCUAUCAGAGAAGCAGAGGUAGGUCAUGAAAUGAACUGCAAAUGAUAAGAGUUUCGCCAGUCAAAGGGAAGCACAUUCCAGGCGAAAGAAAUAGCAAGUAUAAACAAUGAAUUUGUAAAAUUUACAGAAUUAUUCUCCUAACCAGUGACACAAUUCUUCUUCGACUUUGUAAACUUUUGUAGAAUGCUUUGCUAAAAUUUCUUAAAGUUAUAUUUCAUUCACUGGCAUUUAAAAAGUACUUUUAUUAAUUAAUCUAUGUCACUUUUUCAAUAAUAAGAGUAGAUAUUUUCUCCUAGAAAUGUUGCCAGUAUCCUGCUGAGUUUAGCCACCUGUCGCCCUCUUUCUCCCUGUGUUGAAUUACACAUGCCUGUGAAAUGCCCAACUGUGAUUUUGCCCUAAUGAGAGGAAAUCCAUAGAAAAUUUACUCAAAUAAACUAACUUUACAAAACUAUGGGAGAUAAUUAGGUACAGGUCCAUUUUCACAGGCUUCGUGAAUCAUAUUGGAAAUGAAAAGGAGUGAAAGGGCCAAGAAUCAAUUUUGGAACUUUUUGGUAUUUGAAGUCUAGGAUGGGGGAGCGAUUGGGAGUUAGGACCAGAGUAUAUACUGGACUUGGGAACUCUGGGGUGUCAGAGGUCAGCUGGCGCUUCAUUUGCACCCAGCAUCCAUGUUCCCUGGGGGAAAAAUGUCAGGUGAGUUGGGGUUCACUGUCAGACUCUCAGAGCACCAAAAGUAAGACUUUUGAACACUUUAAAUUC